RNAcentral lists this ribosomal RNA (437 nucleotides) under uncultured bacterium. Its description in RNAcentral is "bacterial SSU rRNA". It matches the Rfam family "Bacterial small subunit ribosomal RNA", at positions 43 to 524 of the family's 1533-position model. The record is from RNAcentral.
CAGGACUAACACAUGCAAGUCGAGCGGGCACUUCGGUGCUCAGCGGCGGACGGGUGAGUAACGCGUGGGAACGUGCCUUCUGGUUCGGAAUAACUCAGGGAAACUUGAGCUAAUACCGGAUACGCCCUUUUUGGGGAAAGGUUUACUGCCGGAAGAUCGGCCCGCGUCUGAUUAGCUAGUUGGUGGGGUAACGGCCUACCAAGGCGACGAUCAGUAGCUGGUCUGAGAGGAUGAUCAGCCACACUGGGACUGAGACACGGCCCAGACUCCUACGGGAGGCAGCAGUGGGGAAUAUUGGACAAUGGGCGCAAGCCUGAUCCAGCCAUGCCGCGUGAGUGAUGAAGGCCUUAGGGUUGUAAAGCUCUUUUACCUGGGAAGAUAAUGACGGUACCAGGAGAAUAAGCCCCGGCUAACUUCGUGCCAGCAGCCGCGGUAAU